UGUCAGCUAAGUGGCGGACGGGUGAGUAAUGUAUAGUUAAUUUGCCCCUUAGAGGGGGAUAACAGUUGGAAACGACUGCUAAUACCCCAUACUCCUUUAUAGUUAAUCUAUAUUGGGAAAGUUUUUUCGCUAAGGGAUAAGACUAUAUGGUAUCAGGUAGUUGGUAGGGUAAGAGCCUACCAAGCCUAUGACGCCUAGCUGGUCUGAGAGGAUGAUCAGCCACACUGGAACUGAGACACGGUCCAGACUCC
Molecule: ribosomal RNA, 251 nt
Filed under: uncultured bacterium
Lineage: Bacteria
Description: partial 16S ribosomal RNA
Rfam family: Bacterial small subunit ribosomal RNA
Source: RNAcentral